UGGGCCGUGGUGUAACGGUAGCACGAGGGAUUUUGGAUCCCUCUGUUCAGGUUCGAAUCCUGACGGCCCAA
This 71-nucleotide transfer RNA is filed under the name Planctomycetota bacterium. Its description in RNAcentral is "Planctomycetes bacterium tRNA-Gln". It matches the Rfam family "tRNA". From Rfam's summary of the family: Transfer RNA (tRNA) molecules are approximately 80 nucleotides in length. Their secondary structure includes four short double-helical elements and three loops (D, anti-codon, and T loops). Further hydrogen bonds mediate the characteristic L-shaped molecular structure. tRNAs have two regions of fundamental functional importance: the anti-codon, which is responsible for specific mRNA codon recognition, and the 3' end, to which the tRNAs corresponding amino acid is attached (by aminoacyl-tRNA synthetases). tRNAs cope with the degeneracy of the genetic code in two manners: having more than one tRNA (with a specific anti-codon) for a particular amino acid; and 'wobble' base-pairing, i.e. permitting non-standard base-pairing at the 3rd anti-codon position. The record is from RNAcentral. Lineage: Bacteria; Pseudomonadati; Planctomycetota.